Molecule: transfer RNA, 72 nt
Filed under: Ovis aries (sheep)
Lineage: Eukaryota; Metazoa; Chordata; Mammalia; Artiodactyla; Bovidae
Rfam family: tRNA
About the family: Transfer RNA (tRNA) molecules are approximately 80 nucleotides in length. Their secondary structure includes four short double-helical elements and three loops (D, anti-codon, and T loops).
Source: Rfam by way of RNAcentral
UCCCUGGUGGCUCAGACGGUAAAGCCUCUGCCUGCAAUGCGGGAGACCUGGGUUCGAUUCCUGGGUCGGGAA